GAUGAACGCUGGCGGCGUGCCUAAUACAUGCAAGUCGAGCGAACAGACGAGGAGCUUGCUCCUUCGACGUUAGCGGCGGACAGGUGAGUAACACGUAGGUAACCUACCUAUAAGACUGGGAUAACUUCGGGAAACCGGAGCUAAUACCGGAUAAUAUUUCGAACCGCAUGGUUCGAUAGUGAAAGAUGGCUUUGCUAUCACUUAUAGAUGGACCUGCGCCGUAUUAGCUAGUUGGUAAGGUAACGGCUUACCAAGGCAACGAUACGUAGCCGACCUGAGAGGGUGAUCGGCCACACUGGAACUGAGACACGGUCCAGACUCCUACGGGAGGCAGCAGUAGGGAAUCUUCCGCAAUGGGCGAAAGCCUGACGGAGCAACGCCGCGUGAGUGAUGAAGGUCUUCGGAUCGUAAAACUCUGUUAUUAGGGAAGAACAAACGUGUAAGUAACUGUGCACGUCUUGACGGUACCUAAUCAGAAAGCCACGGCUAACUACGUG
RNAcentral lists this ribosomal RNA (497 nucleotides) under uncultured bacterium. Its description in RNAcentral is "partial 16S ribosomal RNA". It matches the Rfam family "Bacterial small subunit ribosomal RNA", at positions 28 to 507 of the family's 1533-position model. The record is from RNAcentral.